Molecule: long non-coding RNA, 479 nt
Filed under: Mus musculus (house mouse)
Lineage: Eukaryota; Metazoa; Chordata; Mammalia; Rodentia; Muridae
Description: long non-coding RNA chr15:95775753-95776232
Source: RNAcentral
AUGCCCAAGUUUUAUUGUGACUACUGUGACACAUAUCUUACCCAUGAUUCUCCGUCUGUGAGGAAGGCACACUGCAGUGGUCGGAAACACAAAGAGAAUGUGAAAGACUAUUACCAGAAAUGGAUGGAAGAGCAGGCCCAGAGCCUGAUUGACAAGACAACGGCUGCAUUUCAACAAGGGAAGAUCCCUCCCGCUCCGUUCUCUGCUCCUCCACCUGCAGGGGCCAUGAUCCCACCUCCCCCAGUCUCUCGGGCCCUCCUCAGCCUGCCACGAUGCCUGCGUCCCACAUGGGAGGCCCUCCCAUGAUGCCAAUGAUGGGCCCCCCUCCGCCCGGAAUGAUGCCCGUGGGACCAGCUCCUGGGAUGAGACCACCCAUGGGAGGCCACAUGCCCAUGAUGCCCGGGCCUCCCAUGAUAAGACCUCCUGCCCGCCCUAUGAUGGUGCCCACCCGGCCUGGCAUGACCCGGCCAGACAGAUAA